Molecule: small nuclear RNA, 19 nt
Filed under: Phaeodactylum tricornutum CCAP 1055/1
Lineage: Eukaryota; Bacillariophyta; Bacillariophyceae; Surirellales; Neidiaceae
Description: snRNA PTsRNA00049a
Source: RNAcentral
UCGAUUCCCGGUUUGGACC